Molecule: unclassified non-coding RNA, 216 nt
Filed under: Hevea brasiliensis (rubber tree)
Lineage: Eukaryota; Viridiplantae; Streptophyta; Magnoliopsida; Malpighiales; Euphorbiaceae
Source: RNAcentral
AAAGACUUUUUUUAAUAUAUUUGUAGCUUGAUUUGGCCUAAUAACUAAAGGCAUAUCACUCACCAGUUAGGUGUCAGGCUUGAGUUUCUAAUCUCCUAUAAAAAAACAAAUAAAUAAAAUAAAACCAAAUUUAAAAGACUUUUUUUUCAUAUAUUUGUAUGAUAUUUUAAGUCAAUUAAAAUUAAAAAAAAAAAUCUUCUUAACAUUACAUUUCAA